UAUACCUCUGAGGUUUUUAAAUUCAACUUUGCUGAAUUGUAUUAAUUCCAUGACUCCAUGUCAUCCCUCUUGCUGUAGAGUUUUUUCCCCCCUAGUGCCAACCCUGGUCUGUCAACCACAGUUAAUAGUAGCUGUAACCUCAUGUAGUAAUUUUGAACACCAGCAUUCCUCUGAUGUCGCUGGGAGCCAAGCAGCCUCACAGGCGGAAGAACGCACGGAGCCAUGAAAAGAGAUGAGGAAGAGACCACCAUGGUUGGCUUCAUACACUUGAAUGCUGACAGACAUGAUUCCUUUAACAAGAAAAACACAAUCGUGGGUUGAGGAGGAGAAGUACAUUUGUCAGCAGGAGGACAGUCAUAGUAGGCAAAAACACACCCAGCUGGCAACUCAGCAAGCCUGAAGUACCUGAGGAAGAAAUACCCCAAAGCAACCCUGAAGACUCAUGUGAACAACCUCCGGAUUGCCAAUCCUACAAAUCCACUAAUCCAGUGAGAUCUGACUCCACAAACACAAUGACGGCUUAGAUUUUCUGUUGGAAGUGAAAAAGAGACACGUACGGUAGCG
Scophthalmus maximus (turbot) is the source of this 564-nucleotide long non-coding RNA. RefSeq lists it as uncharacterized. The transcript is spliced from 3 exons. The record is from RefSeq and is a predicted model, not a curated record. Lineage: Eukaryota; Metazoa; Chordata; Actinopteri; Pleuronectiformes; Scophthalmidae.